CAUUUUGUAUUUCAUUACAAAGAAAUGGAUUCACAUUCCAUUAGUUGCAGAGUAUGGCAAUGUUAUACAAAUUCAUGUAACUGUUUACACAAUCUUUUAAUAAAAUAGUUGCGACCUGCCAAAUAAUAUAAAAAAAGAUUCUAACAGUCCAAACUUAUCUACUCGUAUGCUCGUAUGGAGCCUAUGAAACCCGCAUCUUAGACUUGUAAACUCACAUCUGGAAAUCCUGUAAAAUAUAUAAAACAAAUGCUCUUAAGAAUAAAGUAUAAAUAUCUACAAAUCAGUGGUUAAGUAAUUUUACUUUUAACAUAACAGAGAUUUAGCCACUCACCCAAAAAAAUUCAAAUUUGAACAAAGGUAAAACAAAUACUUGAAGUGAAUUUUGUAAAACAUAGAAAGUAUAGGUAAGCAUUAUACAUGUAGAAUAUAAUAACCUACUGUCCUUACAUUCUUUUCAUGAAAAGUACAAGUUUCAAUCAAAGUCAAUCAAGCUAAACAAUGAUUACCUAUACUUUAAGCAUGCUUCUUACAUUUUCUCUAAAUAUGGGAACAUGCAUCUCUCACCGAAGAAGCACACAUAAUGCCAUUUUGCAUUCAACAGACCAGUCAAGAAGUCAUCAAUAUAGUUUUUAACAGGAUGUGGUUACGUUUAAAUAUAACUGAUUCACCUAACUUAUUAUUUUCCUUUUCGAAUUUUUUGGAUACUCCCCCUAACUAGCCUCUCACAUCUAUUCAAUGUGCAAGAUUAUGUUUUAUCAACAAAAUAAGUCUAUACAAAUUAUUAAGCACUCAAUCCAACAUCAAUAAUGCACUAAAUGUGUUUUGGGGCCAUGCGUUCUCUUCAUACUCUAACGAAAAAGAAUAAGAAAAAAACCUAAUAUCGUACUCUAACAGAUUCAUCAAAUGCUGACAGUAAAACUAAAGUACAUAACUGAUUUUAUCAAUAUUACAUAAAGAACAAAAGAUGUGGUAUGACUAAGACUUUUAUGAAAAAAGUAAAAUGAGUGAAAAUAUGGCCAUUCUUUUUACAAAUACAAGAGAGCCAAAAGCCUGAAAUCUACAAACACCUAAGUCUAUUAUGAAAAUUCAAUUAGAUAAAACAGAGGCAGCAAGUUGAGUAUUUGAAAACACACAGUCCUAUGCUAUAUUGAAUAACGACUUUUGCAACAUUCAAUAGAUCAACAUGAACAUUCUGUCAAGAUCCAAAAAAAUGAGAAAAAAUAAUUUUCUAGCUAAAUUAGCUGCUAAGAAUAUCACAAUCUUCUUAAUCAAACAAGAGUUAAAGACACAGAAAAUCAUGUUUCUUGUUUGUACUAGAAUCUUUCAAAUUAUUUAUGAAGACUUCUAAAUUCCUUGAGUCAAAAAAGAGCAUGUUUAAAGGUGACAGAUCAAGGAAUACAUACAUCAUUUGCCACUUUGAACUGUUUAUAAAGUAAGAGCAUAUUGUUUACAUAAUUAUCAUAUUUUCAUACAAAUAGGUGAGAGCAGACAAGUACACAUAAGAGAAGAAAACAAAUCUUAGACGUGCUACCAGAUCAUCUGGCCAUAUAAAUUUGAAACAUGCUUUGUUACCAUGACACAAACACUGAGCAUGUCGCAGUAAAAUAGAUUAUGAAAUAUGUGGAUAACUUAUUCAUCUUGUCACUAAAAAGCAUAAAGCCAUGGAAAUCGCUUUUAAUGCCUACUCGGUUCCUCAAACUUAAUCUUAUUAAACAAAGAUUAAUUCAAUAAAUUGCAUAUUUGUAAUACUUAGAAAGUGGAUCUAGACAAGGACCAAGAGCAUGUAGCUAAAGUGUUAAACUUGUACAAAUAUGAUACAAGCAUAAUUUUAAUUUUUUUCGUGGCACAUCACACUAAAUAAUAUAAAACUUCCUUAUCAGAGUCAACAUAUAUUUCCUUUUAUCAAUAGACAGUCAAAGUUAAAAAUAAAGACCUUUAAACAGUAUCCUCAAAUGUAGGAUUCAGUAGUUAGGCAAAGAAAUUCCUAAAUGAAGGAUCUCUAGCGCAACAAGCUUAUCAAACAGAGACUUUAAAGUAUUUCUAAAACUUUACACUAAGCAUGGUUUUGUUGGCACAUAAGAAAGGAAUUUAUGAACAUCAUUUUUUGGGAAUCAGGUAGUCAUUCAACACCAUAAACAAGUCAUAUAGCAUACACUAAAAAUCAUAAAUUGCACACCUAACGACUUACUUAUGGCAAAAGUAUGAGGGAAAAACACAAUACCUUUGAGGCGUAAAAAGGAGUCGAUGAGCUGUGUAAUCAAACACAAAUGGGCUUCUACAAAUGCUUUUUGAUGUAAUAUAAUAGCUUUGGUCUAUUAGAUAUGGAAUCAAUCGAGCAAAACUCGUACGAGCUAAGCACUCGAGUAAUAUAUCCCAACACAAUAGAGCAGGUUCAAAGGGGAUCUAAAGCCCUCAAUUCAAGUAAAUAGUGUAGAGAGGGUUGUAAACUCUGCUUGUAAGUUUUGUUUCUUCAGAAAACUGGAACAUGAGGCAAAAGUCACCACCUAUGGAAUCUCGGACAAAGAGUAACAGGAGUGACCUAAUAGACAAGGACGGAAUCACAAAACCCCAAUUACUGAAUCAAGGAGUACGACGUCGAUUAGGAGUGAAUGAAAGAACCAAAAUAUGACAGAUUUAGCUAUAGUUUACUGUGAAAAAUAGAAACUCAACUCACCAAAAUUAAAUAUUCGUGAACCCGAAUAGUUAUGACCUGGUGAGAAGUAGUGAAGAACAUUUUGACGGCAGUACUCGUCACUUUGAGCGAAGAAAUCAAGAGCAGAUUGCAAGGAAAAACUAGAAUAGGUUAUCAAAACAAAGAGAGAUAUUAGGGAUUUGAGAGAACAACAACAACAACAACAACAUCCCCAGUAUAAUCCCACAAAUGGGGUCUGGGGAGGUAAUAUGUACGCAGACCUUACCCCUACCCGAGGGGUAGAGAGGCUGUUUCCAAGAG
RNAcentral lists this long non-coding RNA (2953 nucleotides) under Nicotiana tabacum (common tobacco). Its description in RNAcentral is "long non-coding RNA (NTAB_LNC004113)". The record is from RNAcentral. Lineage: Eukaryota; Viridiplantae; Streptophyta; Magnoliopsida; Solanales; Solanaceae.